This 440-nucleotide ribosomal RNA is filed under the name uncultured bacterium. RNAcentral describes it as "bacterial SSU rRNA". It matches the Rfam family "Bacterial small subunit ribosomal RNA", at positions 340 to 773 of the family's 1533-position model. The record is from RNAcentral.
UACGGAAGGCAGCAGUGGGGAAUAUUGCACAAUGGGCGCAAGCCUGAUGCAGCCAUGCCGCGUGUAUGAAAAAGGCCUUCGGGUUGUAAAGUACUUUCAGUCGUGAGGAAGGUGUUAAGGUUAAUAACCUUAGCAAUUGACGUUAGCGACAGAAGAAGCACCGGCUAACUCCGUGCCAGCAGCCGCGGUAAUACGGAGGGUGCGAGCGUUAAUCGGAAUUACUGGGCGUAAAGGGCACGCAGGCGGUUAAUUAAGUUGGAUGUGAAAUCCCCGGGCUUAACCUGGGAAUGGCAUUCAAGACUGGUUAGCUAGAGUCUUGUAGAGGGGGUAGAAUUCCAUGUGUAGCGGUGAAAUGCGUAGAGAUGUGGAGGAAUACCGGUGGCGAAGGCGGCCUCCUGGACAAAGACUGACGCUCAUGUGCGAAAGCGUGGGGAGCAAAC